Solanum pennellii is the source of this 597-nucleotide long non-coding RNA. RefSeq lists it as uncharacterized. NCBI's taxonomy places the organism in Eukaryota, Viridiplantae, Streptophyta, Magnoliopsida, Solanales, Solanaceae. The transcript is spliced from 4 exons. The record is from RefSeq and is a predicted model, not a curated record.
UUCGUCACAAGGACGUCGCUAAACUUGUGACGGAACUCAAUUUUAGUCACUAAGAGCUUACCAACGAGCAUAAUUGUAACAGUCAACACUCCGUUGCUAAUUAAUCGUGAGUAAUUAAGGAUUUUCAUCAUAUAGUGAGGGAUUGUGUUUGUCGCAAAACACUAUUUUUUUGCAGUGUUAGCCUCUCAUAACAAGAUAAAGUUACUUCAUCAGUGAAAAUCCUUAAUUCAAGUUCCAGGCUCUGAUACGUUCCCUCUUUCACUCCAGGGUGAUGAAUUUGAAGACUUCAAAAUCAUACAAAUUUGUGUUCAGCAGCUAAAGGAUAAAGUGUGCUCAAAUAGAAGCUCUCAUCUCUCAAAGUAAAGACUGUGUAAGCUCUCUGAUGAAACUUUCCUUCUUUGAUGGCUAAAACUCCCAUCUUCUUCAAUCUUCAUCUCAAAGCAUAAGUUGUUUCAGAUAAUGUGAUAGCUUUUUUGGAGGCAUUUUAAAAUAUUUUAGCACAUUUUCACUUGAUUGGAAAAUACUUUAGUAAUCAACUUAUUGGUUGUAAGUUGUAAGUAUCUUCAAGUUAAAUGUACUGCAAUCAACUUGAAAGGU